GGGGAAUAUUGCACAAUGGGGGAAACCCUGAUGCAGCAACGCCGCGUGAGUGAUGACGGUCUUCGGAUUGUAAAGCUCUGUUUUCAGGGACGAUAAUGACGGUACCUGAGGAGGAAGCCACGGCUAACUACGUGCCAGCAGCCGCGGUAAUACGUAGGGGGCAAGCGUUACCCGGAUUUACUGGGUGUAAAGGGAGCGUAGACGGCUAUGCAAGUCUGGUGUGAAAACCCGGGGCUCAACCCCGGGACUGCAUUGGAAACUGGGUGGCUUGAGUGUCGGAGAGGUAAGUGGAAUUCCUAGUGUAGCGGUGAAAUGCGGAGAUAUUAGGAGGAACACCAGUGGCGAAGGCGGCUUACUGGACGAUGACUGACGUUGAGGCUCGAAAGCGUGGGGAGCAAAC
Molecule: ribosomal RNA, 400 nt
Filed under: uncultured bacterium
Lineage: Bacteria
Description: bacterial SSU rRNA
Rfam family: Bacterial small subunit ribosomal RNA
Source: RNAcentral